CCCUACGGGGGGCAGCAGUGGGGGAUAUUGCACAAUGGGGGAAACCCUGAUGCAGCGACGCCGCGUGAGCGAUGAAGUAUUUCGGUAUGUAAAGCUCUAUCAGCAGGGAAGAAAAUGACGGUACCUGACUAAGAAGCCCCGGCUAACUACGUGCCAGCAGCCGCGGUAAUACGUAUGGGGCAAGCGUUAUCCGGAUUUACUGGGUGUAAAGGGAGCGUAUGGGGCCUGGCAAGCCUGAUGUGAAAUAC
This 248-nucleotide ribosomal RNA is filed under the name uncultured bacterium. RNAcentral describes it as "partial 16S ribosomal RNA". It matches the Rfam family "Bacterial small subunit ribosomal RNA", at positions 337 to 602 of the family's 1533-position model. The record is from RNAcentral.